This 500-nucleotide ribosomal RNA is filed under the name uncultured bacterium. RNAcentral describes it as "partial 16S ribosomal RNA". It matches the Rfam family "Bacterial small subunit ribosomal RNA", at positions 30 to 523 of the family's 1533-position model. The record is from RNAcentral.
AUUGAACGCUGGCGGCAGGCCUAACACAUGCAAGUCGAGCGGAUGACGGGAGCUUGCUCCUUGAUUCAGCGGCGGACGGGUGAGUAAUGCCUAGGAAUCUGCCUGGUAGUGGGGGACAACGUUUCGAAAGGAACGCUAAUACCGCAUACGUCCUACGGGAGAAAGCAGGGGACCUUCGGGCCUUGCGCUAUCAGAUGAGCCUAGGUCGGAUUAGCUAAUUGGUGAGGUAAUGGCUCACCAAGGCGACGAUCCGUAACUGGUCUGAGAGGAUGAUCAGUCACACUGGAACUGAGACACGGUCCAGACUCCUACGGGAGGCAGCAGUGGGGAAUAUUGGACAAUGGGCGAAAGCCUGAUCCAGCCAUGCCGCGUGUGUGAAGAAGGUCUUCGGAUUGUAAAGCACUUUAAGUUGGGAGGAAGGGCAGUAAGCUAAUACCUUGCUGUUUUGACGUUACCGGCAGAAUAAGCACCGGCUAACUCUGUGCCAGCAGCCGCCGUAA